RNAcentral lists this ribosomal RNA (546 nucleotides) under uncultured bacterium. Its description in RNAcentral is "bacterial SSU rRNA". It matches the Rfam family "Bacterial small subunit ribosomal RNA", at positions 356 to 896 of the family's 1533-position model. The record is from RNAcentral.
GGGGAAUAUUGCGCAAUGGGGGGAACCCUGACGCAGCCAUGCCGCGUGAAUGAAGAAGGCCUUCGGGUUGUAAAGUUCUUUCGGUAUUGAGGAAGGUUGAUGUGUUAAUAGCACAUCAAAUUGACGUUAAAUACAGAAGAAGCACCGGCUAACUCUGUGCCAGCAGCCGCGGUAAUACGGAGGGUGCGAGCGUUAAUCGGAAUAACUGGGCGUAAAGGGCACGCAGGCGGUUAUUUAAGUGAGGUGUGAAAGCCCCGGGCUUAACCUGGGAAUUGCAUUUCAGACUGGGUAACUAGAGUACUUUAGGGAGGGGUAGAAUUCCACGUGUAGCGGUGAAAUGCGUAGAGAUGUGGAGGAAUACCGAAGGCGAAGGCAGCCCCUUGGGAAUGUACUGACGCUCAUGUGCGAAAGCGUGGGGAGCAAACAGGAUUAGAUACCCUGGUAGUCCACGCUGUAAACGCUGUCGAUUUGGGGGUUGGGGUUUAACUCUGGCGCCCGUAGCUAACGUGAUAAAUCGACCGCCUGGGGAGUACGGCCGCAAGGUUA